Hippoglossus stenolepis (Pacific halibut) is the source of this 345-nucleotide long non-coding RNA. RefSeq lists it as uncharacterized. The record is from RefSeq and is a predicted model, not a curated record. The transcript is spliced from 3 exons. Lineage: Eukaryota; Metazoa; Chordata; Actinopteri; Pleuronectiformes; Pleuronectidae.
AACAGAGAGGAGAGGAAGUGUGAGUGCUGUCACUCAGCAUGUAGCGUGUUGAGCUAACGUAGCUAACAGCUACUCAAGUAAACCAGAGAACAGUCUAUUGUGCAGAGUGAAGUUCACCAGCAGCCAGAACUGUGACCUGGAGCGGACACACAACAUUGACAACUGAUGAGCAUGUGUGACUGGACCCGACGCUAGAAGAGCCCCCACAGCGUCGGGAGCUCAGUCUGGAGGGCGGCUGGGACCCGAACACUCCACCUACCGACACACUGCAGCCAGGGGGAGGAGUGAAGCUGAGGAAUGCAGCUCUUCUGGAUGCACCGCCUGACAAGUGGUGCAGCUCAGUUG